RNAcentral lists this ribosomal RNA (612 nucleotides) under uncultured bacterium. Its description in RNAcentral is "bacterial SSU rRNA". It matches the Rfam family "Bacterial small subunit ribosomal RNA", at positions 48 to 642 of the family's 1533-position model. The record is from RNAcentral.
UCUUUAAUUGAUCUGACGAGCUUGCUCUGAUUUGAUCCCAUCUGACAAAGAGUGGCGAACGGGUGAGUAACACGUGGGUAACCUACCUCUUAGCAGGGGAUAACAUUUGGAAACAAGUGCUAAUACCGUAUAAUACCAACAACCGCAUGGUUGUUGGUUGAAAGAUGGUUCUGCUAUCACUAAGAGAUGGACCCGCGGUGCAUUAGCUAGUUGGUAAGGUAACGGCUUACCAAGGCAAUGAUGCAUAGCCGAGUUGAGAGACUGAUCGGCCACAAUGGGACUGAGACACGGCCCAUACUCCUACGGGAGGCAGCAGUAGGGAAUCUUCCACAAUGGGCGCAAGCCUGAUGGAGCAACGCCGCGUGUGUGAUGAAGGGUUUCGGCUCGUAAAACACUGUUAUAAGAGAAGAACGGCACUGAGAGUAACUGUUGGGGUGUGUGACGGUAUCUUACCAGAAAGGAACGGCUAAAUACGUGCCAGCAGCCGCGGUAAUACGUAUGUUCCAAGCGUUAUCCGGAUUUAUUGGGCGUAAAGCGAGCGCAAACGGUUAUUUAAGUCUGAAGUGAAAGCCCUCAGCUCAUCUGAGGAAUGGCUUUGGAAACUGGAUGACU